Molecule: ribosomal RNA, 1369 nt
Filed under: uncultured bacterium
Lineage: Bacteria
Description: bacterial SSU rRNA
Rfam family: Bacterial small subunit ribosomal RNA
Source: RNAcentral
GACGAACGCUGGCGGCGUGCCUAAUACAUGCAAGUAGAACGCUGAAGAGAGGAGCUUGCUCUUCUUGGAUGAGUUGCGAACGGGUGAGUAACGCGUAGGUAACCUGCCUUGUAGCGGGGGAUAACUAUUGGAAACGAUAGCUAAUACCGCAUAACAAUGGAUGACACAUGUCAUUUAUUUGAAAGGGGCAAUUGCUCCACUACAAGAUGGACCUGCGUUGUAUUAGCUAGUAGGUGAGGUAACGGCUCACCUAGGCGACGAUACAUAGCCGACCUGAGAGGGUGAUCGGCCACACUGGGACUGAGACACGGCCCAGACUCCUACGGGGGGCAGCAGUAGGGAAUCUUCGGCAAUGGGGGCAACCCUGACCGAGCAACGCCGCGUGAGUGAAGAAGGUUUUCGGAUCGUAAAGCUCUGUUGUAAGUCAAGAACGAGUGUGAGAGUGGAAAGUUCACACUGUGACGGUAGCUUACCAGAAAGGGACGGCUAACUACGUGCCAGCAGCCGCGGUAAUACGUAGGUCCCGAGCGUUGUCCGGAUUUAUUGGGCGUAAAGCGAGCGCAGGCGGUUUGAUAAGUCUGAAGUUAAAGGCUGUGGCUCAACCAUAGUUCGCUUUGGAAACUGUCAAACUUGAGUGCAGAAGGGGAGAGUGGAAUUCCAUGUGUAGCGGUGAAAUGCGUAGAUAUAUGGAGGAACACCGGUGGCGAAAGCGGCUCUCUGGUCUGUAACUGACGCUGAGGCUCGAAAGCGUGGGGAGCGAACAGGAUUAGAUACCCUGGUAGUCCACGCCGUAAACGAUGAGUGCUAGGUGUUGGAUCCUUUCCGGGAUUCAGUGCCGCAGCUAACGCAUUAAGCACUCCGCCUGGGGAGUACGACCGCAAGGUUGAAACUCAAAGGAAUUGACGGGGGCCCGCACAAGCGGUGGAGCAUGUGGUUUAAUUCGAAGCAACGCGAAGAACCUUACCAGGUCUUGACAUCCCGAUGCUAUUUCUAGAGAUAGAAAGUUACUUCGGUACAUCGGUGACAGGUGGUGCAUGGUUGUCGUCAGCUCGUGUCGUGAGAUGUUGGGUUAAGUCCCGCAACGAGCGCAACCCCUAUUGUUAGUUGCCAUCAUUCAGUUGGGCACUCUAGCGAGACUGCCGGUAAUAAACCGGAGGAAGGUGGGGAUGACGUCAAAUCAUCAUGCCCCUUAUGACCUGGGCUACACACGUGCUACAAUGGUUGGUACAACGAGUUGCGAGUCGGUGACGGCAAGCUAAUCUCUUAAAGCCAAUCUCAGUUCGGAUUGUAGGCUGCAACUCGCCUACAUGAAGUCGGAAUCGCUAGUAAUCGCGGAUCAGCACGCCGCGGUGAAUACGUUCCCGGGCCU